GCCGGCUAGCCUUCAGCCUCCAUUGAGGACACAGUGAAGACCGUGCUUUUGGAAACGUUGUUGCCGAGAAGAUUAUCCUAACAUGGCGGACAUAAAGGACUUUGGAAAAUGCCAAUCCUUGUAUUUCUGUCGCAUCCAUGAACAUUACUUCAUUCACAGGUGGAAAGAAAGUGACAUUUACACCGUGGGAUGAGGUAGUAGGUUGUAUAGUUUUAGGGUCACACCCACACUGGGAGAUAACUAUACAUCCUACUGUCUUUCUCAAAGUGAAAACGAAGCUACCGCAUUUUAGUCUACAUUACCUGAAAUUUAAUAUCAGCGACAGUGAUACAGUUUUCAUUGUGUUUCAUGACAUAUUGAAAUUUUGUGCUUAUUGUUACAAAAUAAAUGAUUUUGUGUAUAAUGGUCUUAGUUAUCUUGCUUUAUUUAGACUACAGUGCUUUCACAGUGUGAGGUAGUAGAUUGUAUAGUUGUGGGGUAGUGAUUUUAUCCCGUGUAGAAGAUAACUAUACGAUCUAUUGCCUUCCCUGAGGGGCAGAAAUGCACACCGUAUUACAUUAGACUAAAACAUUUUUAUAACAGUUUGUCAUUUUCUUAAAUAAAUAUUUUGUCUGAAAACUGUU
Long non-coding RNA from Triplophysa dalaica, 623 nucleotides. RefSeq lists it as uncharacterized. NCBI's taxonomy places the organism in Eukaryota, Metazoa, Chordata, Actinopteri, Cypriniformes, Nemacheilidae. The transcript has 2 exons. The record is from RefSeq and is a predicted model, not a curated record.